CAGGGAGAGUCAGGACUUGGCAUGCACCCUGCAAUGUUGUGGGGAGAGGCAUAGUGCCAGCCAUCCUGCACUCCCUGGACUGGCAGUGCUGCAGUGCAAUUGCUGCUGACUCAAUGGGGACCUCUCGCCCACUCUCCAUCUAGGUACCAAGAGUGCCCAGUGCAGAUGUGCAAUCUCUUGGGGUUACCUGCCCACUAUGAGCUGCAGUGGCAGGCCAGUGGGAAGGGGAGAUUGGCAUCCCCACACCAGUCUGGUGAGUAGAGUUGUUUUAGAAGAAGCCAGGGACACCAGUGUUGACAUUAGAGGUGGUGAGAAGAAUGGCAUUCAGGAUUCUUGCACAGAAUGCUGAGUACCCACAUGUUCCUUCUGCACUGGGCUCUGCAAAUUAUGAAGCUCACCCUGUCACUUCACCUAAAGAUAGGCCAACUUGACAUCUGUGGGGCUUAAGCCUGCUCAAAUGGGUUGAAGGCGGGGCGAAACCCAGCCUUGGGUUUCAGGCAGCCAUCUUGCAUUGUUUGUUCUUCCUAAGUGUCCAGUCUUCCUGGACCUCACCUCACAGUAUUCCCAUCCCCUGACCAAUGCCUGACUCCAGAAGUUUCUGAGUGUUUGCUGGCUGCUGAGCUGUAGUGAUGGAGCUGUAUGGUAACAGAGCUGGAGAUGACCCAAGUUUCUCUUGUCCCACUCCUUGCCUGAUGGCACCAACCCCACCACCUCCCCAGGCAGAAGACUAAGCCAAAAAUGGUUACUAAAUAGUAACCACCCAGGAAGCAACUUGGGACUUGGAACUGGGCCCAUUGUUACUUAAUGCAUCCUCUCCCCACCCCAUAAAUGAACUUGGACACAGUCAAGUCGCACUAUAAUGAAGUGGCAAAGGAGAUGGAAGUGAAAAAGAAAAACAGCUGACGUAUCUAAUUUUCCUAAGACAUAGAAAAACGGGCUGCAAACAGAAAAAUGAGGCUUAGCUAGGAAAAAUGUAAACAAGAUGUUUGGGGAAAGGCGUCUAAAACCACCCAGUCUUCAGUGGACAGGAAAGACCCAGCUCCUCCCGGGUCAUCACAGAGGGUGGGUUGGAAAGGUGGGCAGAACAGAGCAGAGGGUGGCCAUGGGUGGUGUGGGGCUACCAAUGAUGCAUGCCUCCUGCCAAGCAGGCACCUUCACAACCCGGUGGGAUGGACCCAGAUGAGACGGAUAACCAAGAAGGCUAGGUACAGGGAGAACCCCAUCUUCCCAGCAGGAAGAACUUUCCACACAGACCAGGAAGCAGGAAUUCUGUAAACACUAAGGCUGCUAGCUACCGUCCCUUUUAAUGUUUUAGUGGUGAUGACAAUGCAGUAAGAAUGUCAGUGGAGUCAGUUAUUGGUUUUUACUCAGUGUCAGACACUGUCUUACAGUCUUUUCCUGCCUUCUCACAUUUUACUUUCGCCACAACCUAUCCACUUUUUGCAAAUAAAGAACUUGAGGCUCAAAGAAGCAACUAGCAAGUGUGAGACCAGACUUUGCACCAAGGUUGGUCUGAAUCCAAAGCCCAUAUCUUUCCCCUAUUAUAUUCUUCUGGUUUACUUAGCAAUAGUAAUAAAAAUACUGAUACAAAUACUUAUACCUUGUUGACUGCUCACUAUGUAAUCAGGCACUUUGUGUACGUCAUCUCACUUAGUAACCACAUCAACCAUAUGAAGUAGUUCCCAUGAUUCCACCUGGAUUACUAUUAAGAAAACUGAGCAUCAGAGAGACUAAGUAACGAGGCUGAGAUUCCCAGCUGAUACUGAAGCUCCUGGUUCGGGGACCAUACUUUGAGAACCUUCAGCUUACAACAAUGCCCAGCAUGAGCUGUCUUCCAAGCAGCUGAGACAUAUGACCCGAUUGAAUUCCAGGCUUCUGUUGGGUCUUGGUUUGUCCAGAUUUAGAGGAGCUGUCCGUGUGUGUGUGUGUGUGUGUGUGUGUGUGUGUGUGUGUGUGUGUUUAAACAACUGACAUGUCAUUCUUUUAAAGUGCACAUAAAAGUUUAAGCUUCCUGAAUCUCAUAAAGAAAAAUUAUAAAAGGAUGCCUGUACU
This 2052-nucleotide long non-coding RNA is filed under the name Homo sapiens (human). RNAcentral describes it as "HSALNT0362327". Lineage: Eukaryota; Metazoa; Chordata; Mammalia; Primates; Hominidae. The record is from RNAcentral.